Molecule: long non-coding RNA, 101 nt
Organism: Lontra canadensis (Northern American river otter)
Lineage: Eukaryota; Metazoa; Chordata; Mammalia; Carnivora; Mustelidae
Exons: 3
Source: RefSeq, a predicted model, not a curated record
GGGUGUUUCUACACUUUGGCUACUGUGAAUAAUGAGGCUAUAAAUAUGUAUGAACACAUUCUUGUUCAUUUUGUUAACAUUUUCCAUUUUGUUAACAUUUU